CAGUCGGAACUGUAAACUCUGAAAGCCCGAUGCUGGCGAUAGGUACUCUCUGAGAAUAAAUGAGAGACCGGGAUAAAAAAGAGCAAGGGAGAGAUGAGAUCGUAUAACCCUGUACGGUUCCUUCCAAAGAGAGGGUUUGUCAGAAUAUCCAUCAGAAGCAGAGAGCUGCCUGGAAUUCUACCUAAGGAGCCCCUUACAGAAAUAAAAACGAGGAACUUAAGCAUCAUUGUCACUGUGAACUAUUUUGAAGUUGGAUAGUUUCCAGCUAUGCAAUGUCAUAUAUUUUAAUAUAUGUAACACAUCUUUCAUUGUAAUUAAUUUAUAGACACAGUAGAUUAUAUAAAUUUUCCAUAGGAAUAUAUUGAAUAAAUAUACACAUAAACAAUAGUGUGCAUCUGUGUCAUACUUUUCUAAGAGAAAAGACAGGUGGACGUUAGGAAAUUGUAUUUUCCACAGUGGCAAAAGAUAAUACACAAAUAUUAUUUAAUCCCUCCUACCAAAGCUAAUCAUGGAUAUUAUCAACCAUCUUCCUACCCAGAUGAAUGUUCGUGAGAUAAAGUAAGUACAAACAAUGAGAUGUUGCCUGACACAGACAAAAAUGUGAUCAAACCAUCAAGAACCUUACAUCUUCUAACUCCAACCAGAAUGAGAGGGUGAACCCUAUUACACUCUAAACUGGGAAGUGCACACCUGAAGUCGUUGAAGUCCAAGGCGGUCAUUGUUUCCAGCACAGAGAACUGCUGCACCAGGAGCUUGAAGAUGACCACCACACGGUGCAUCCGCGUCAUCACCUUCAGCAUGUUCCUCUCAUCCCUGACCUGAUGUGGAAGGAAGAAACUCCAAGUUGUCGGUUGGAUUGAGAGAAGUUACCAAACAGAUCAUGAAUGGCAAUAAUCACAGAUGUGUUCAGGUGUAGCAGAGAAAAAAAACAUACCACUGUGUGGAGCCUGGAAGACAGGCAUGGAAGCUAAGGAAGUCAGCAAAUGAGAAAAAAAGCUAUGAAACUUUGUUUACAUCUGAUCUUUGUCUACAGGGAUGCCAUUUCCCUCCAGAAUCCGUUGCUGCAUUGGUUCCGGACCCAGGCAGAACACUGCAGUCACAGGAGUAUUCAUGCAUGCCUGUGUGCAUAUGUGUGGUGGAGGAUGCUGUUCGUGUCUUGGUACAGAAAAGCAGAUCAAGGACAAAAAUUAAAAACCAGAAAAAGGUAAAACUUCCAAAGUCCAGCCUUCAGUGACACCUUUGUUCCAGUGAUCCUGUCACUCAUAGUUUCCAACCCUUCCUAAAAUAGUACCAUGAGAUGGAUACUGAUGGGUUAGCCCAUCAACCAGUGGAAGAUAUUUCAUAAUCAAAUCAUAACUUUUUAAAAUUCUCAUGACUAAUUUAUCACCGCCUUAUGUUUGCAAAGUUGCCUGUAUAAAUGAUUACAGAACACUUAUUAUUAAAGUGUAAAAACAACAUGACACUAUAUUUGAAAUGCUUUUUCUAUUCCAGGCACUCUGCUGAAGUUAUUUUAUUUCUCACUAAAUUAAUAAGUUUAUUAAUUUUCUGGCAUCCAGGUUUUGUUCUUGAUUUUAAGAUGAGUUUUCUCUCCAGAAAGUCCUGAAAGUUCCAGAAUCAUCAACCCUCCCUGCUUCAGCUUCCUGAGUGUAGCAACAGGGUGUUAUGUCUCCUCAACCAGUUUGUUCCUGUGAUGAGUCCUCUGAGAAGUAACAUUGCCUAGACUGCAUUAGCUGUCCAUUAACAGAGCAAUACAUAAAUCAAGCAUUUCAUGUGACGUCAAUGCUCCUUUUACACAGACUGCUACAUAAUUCACAAUGAUUAGAUUAUAACUUUACUAAUUCUCCUCUUUGUAAAGCAUAAAUGUUUUACAUUGUUGAACAACUAAAAAAGCCUUAAAUUAUCUUGUCCAAUAAAUAAACUCAUUUUAUGAUUA
Mesocricetus auratus (golden hamster) is the source of this 1933-nucleotide long non-coding RNA. RefSeq lists it as uncharacterized. The record is from RefSeq and is a predicted model, not a curated record. The transcript is spliced from 4 exons. NCBI's taxonomy places the organism in Eukaryota, Metazoa, Chordata, Mammalia, Rodentia, Cricetidae.